CCCUGGGUGGUACAGACUGUUAAACCUUUGACUCCUAACCAGAAGGUUGGUGGUUCGAAUCCACCCAUAGGCA
RNAcentral lists this transfer RNA (73 nucleotides) under Loxodonta africana (African savanna elephant). It matches the Rfam family "tRNA". From Rfam's summary of the family: Transfer RNA (tRNA) molecules are approximately 80 nucleotides in length. Lineage: Eukaryota; Metazoa; Chordata; Mammalia; Proboscidea; Elephantidae. The record is from Rfam by way of RNAcentral.